UCCGAUUCAGAAGAGCAAAGAGCCGAACCGGGAAACCGAACUGGAGACUCCAACUAGGGUCGGACCACCGAAUCGGAGGGCCGUGGCCGCCGAUAGGAGGCGGUGGGGGAGUCGCACUGAACUGUUGGAGGCUCAUCCGGGACGUGAUGCUGGCCAUCCGGUCCGUCCUCCGCGACGCCAUGGCCGAUUUCUCCAUCCUUUACCGGAUCAGAAGCCUUCGGAGCCUACUCAAGUUCCUCAGAUCCAGCGUCGGCUCCGAUGAUUCCAUUCGCCUAUUCCUCCGCUCUCCAACCAUUCCCCAACUGCGAGGUGUGCUCUGAUCUAGAAAUUUCUGUGGCAAAUGAAUUAGCAACCACUUUUGGAUCCAUCCAAUAUCUUUGAUGAUGGCUUUCUUUGGCUUUGGUGCAUCUCAUGCAACAAGUGUACUUGAUCCUGAAAGAUGGACGUAGAUCCUUAUGGACGAAUUGCAACGUGCAUAUGAUCCUGGAUGCUGGAUCCUGAUGGAUCUAACCAGAAAAGCACAGAUCAUGGAGGAACCAUUGAGGUGAUUGCAGGUGGUAAUUAAUGCACUAUCUACUUGAGGAACCAUUGAGCAAGCGGCAUGCCUGGUUGUUUUAUAUCAUUAAUGUUAUAUUUACCAUCCGAUCAGAUGGUAUUGCUACUCCAAUAAGACAUCUGCUCGCCUAUCUUCAAAUUUGAUGGUGAUUACAAUCUACCCAUCGCGAUGGGUUUCUGCAUAUUAUAUAAAACUUUGCUUUGUCUGAUGUGCUACGGUGAUGCAUAUUUGUGACUCAAUUGCAUGAUGGUUCGAGGGUCA
Musa acuminata AAA Group (dessert banana) is the source of this 817-nucleotide long non-coding RNA. RefSeq lists it as uncharacterized. Lineage: Eukaryota; Viridiplantae; Streptophyta; Magnoliopsida; Zingiberales; Musaceae. The record is from RefSeq and is a predicted model, not a curated record. The transcript is spliced from 2 exons.